AUGGUUCUGAACACUACUUCAGAAAGACACAUAAAAAACAAAAAUAGCACACACACAAGCCAAAAUCUGAACAAAUCGUCAUGGAGCCAUUCAAAUGCAAAAAUCAAAAACUACUUUGUCUAUGAACUUGACCAGACCUACUUUGUUCAUUGUCACGGCACUCGUGUAUUACGUUGCACAGGAGGGACAAAAAUGGUCAUGGAGCCAUUCAAAAUCCAAAAUCAUCAGGUUUGGGAUGGAUUUUCAGCAGGCACACUUUCAAAAUCAAAAAUUGUGCUUGAACGCUUUGCGCUUGCCCCCAAUCCCCCACAAAAGCAAAAACAAUGUGUUGAAAACUGA
RNAcentral lists this ribosomal RNA (339 nucleotides) under Triticum aestivum (bread wheat). Its description in RNAcentral is "partial small subunit ribosomal RNA". The record is from RNAcentral. Lineage: Eukaryota; Viridiplantae; Streptophyta; Magnoliopsida; Poales; Poaceae.